Molecule: RNA transcript, 3775 nt
Organism: Sitodiplosis mosellana (orange wheat blossom midge)
Lineage: Eukaryota; Metazoa; Arthropoda; Insecta; Diptera; Cecidomyiidae
Gene name: SET and MYND domain-containing protein 4-like
Exons: 10
Source: RefSeq, a predicted model, not a curated record
CAUUCGAACAUCGCUGCUCAGAGUGACGACACAUCAACACAUUCAUCGGUGGUGCGCUUUUGAUUGUGUGCGUUUAAUUUUGGCGAUUUGCGUAUCAAAACAUUCAAAAAUGUGCAGGUCGCACACACUCAAACGCGAAUAAAGAUGAUCACAUCGAACAGCUAAUCAGAGUGAUGGAUGCGGUAUUGACACGGCGACUUGAGUUCAACAGUUUGCCACGUGAGCGUUGGCAUCAUUCAAACACACUUGUCAAUUGAUGCGCAAUUCAUAGUCAAUUGGUUAUCGUCUGUCUUUUUUGUUCUGCACGUAACGCAUUCACUUUCAUAGCCAUUGAUCAUAACCAUCAGGCGCAUCAACGAUUUUUCGCUGCAACAGUGUUAACAACAGCGAGAGAAAGGACAACACUCGUGUGAAUUGUGGCGAGAAAGUUCUAUUGUCAGAGGAUUAUCUAUUGCAUUCCGGACAAAUUUUCGUUUUCUGUGUGAUUAAACAGAUUUAAUCAUGCUAUGGGUAAAGGAGUCGAAUAAGAAAAAUGCGUUGUUCGUGGACAUUUUCAAAUCGAAUAAAUUGCAGCGUCCGGUGAAUUUUAUUGAAUCGAAAGCAUGUUCACCGCCCAGAAAGUCCGAUACGGUUGCAUUGCGUAAGCGAAAGGAGGGUAAUGAGCUAUUUGGUCAACGUGAAUGGGCCGAAGCAAUGGAAAUGUACAACGAGAGUUUAUGCUUUGCCAAAAAUGGAUCAAAACACAUUAGUUUGGCGUAUGCGAAUCGAUCGUCAUGUUUUUUGAACAUGAAACUGUACAACGAGUGCCUCAUUGAUAUUGAAUUGGCCAAAGAAGCUGGCUAUCCAAUGGAUUUGAUGGAAAAAUUGAAUCAACGCAAAGAGGAUUGUUUGAAGAGCAUCGAAAAAGCAGCAAAGUCAUUGCAAAUCUUCGAACCGAAGCUAAGCUAUGAAGCUGACGAGAAAUUUCCGUGCAUGGCCAAUGUGUUGAAGUUCGAGCAAGGUGAUGAUGGUGAUUAUGCGCUUUGUGCGAAGGAAGAUAUUGAUGUUGGUCAAACGAUUGUGGUGGAAUCGGCAUUCGUCAAGUGUCUACUGCGAUAUGGACGCAAAUGCAGCAUUUGUUUGAAAGGUAACACCAAUCUCGUCCCGUGUGAAAAUUGUGCGACGGCAAUGUUCUGCAGUAAUGAAUGCAAGGUCAGCUUUCUGCACAAGUACGAGUGUGGCUUGAGGUACAGCGAAGACGAAUCAUUGAAUGGUGGCAUUUUGGAAGCAGCACGAGCAAUCAUUUUGGGUGUGAAUGCAUUUACAACCGUCGACCAGCUAAUGGAAUUCGUUGAGCAAACGAUCAGUAGCGAUCCAAAUGAAUUGCUCGACUCGUUGAUCGAUGAACAGUCAAAAUAUCGGGCAUUUCUCAAGCUACCACUUGCCAAUGAUGACGAUGAUGACAUAUUCAUUGCUAUCGCUUACUGCACCUAUAAAUUCAUUCUCAACAUCCCGGGCAUCAAAGCAAUUUUUGAAUCGCGCAAACAUCGCCGAUUUUUAAUGCAUUUCGUUACUCAUUGCAUGAAAGUCACAUCGAAAAACUCAUUGCAAGAGGUUCGAGUGGUUCGGCGUAAGGAGUAUGCAUUGGUUUACACUCAAACUGGCGCAAUCACCAAGUACCUUAAGCACUCGUGUGCGCCAAAUGCAACAAUGUCACAAACCAAUGGAAAUCUCAUCUGCGUUACCGUUCGGCCAGUUAAAAUGGGUGAACGCCUGCUCAUUUCAUGCUAUGAUAUGCUAUUGGAUUCUAAGGAAACCCGUCAACGCCAAUUAUGGGAGAAUAAACAAUUCAUUUGUCAAUGCACACGAUGUGAAGGACAUACGGCAACGUUGGCCCAACGAAAACGAAUUGCUUCGGAUCCAGAUUUUCAUGACAUCAUAUUCAGCUAUCCAAUCACAGAGAGCGAUGUCGAUAAACUGCCACAAAUGAUUGCAAAAUGUGAAGCGGUUUCGAGGAAAUACGGCGAUGUGAUAUGGUGCGAUGAAAUUGGCCGUGUUAUCAAUAUCUACAUAAAACUGUUGAACUUUCGUAUGUCAGGCUUAUUCUGAAACUCAUUGCAGAUGAAACGUUACAUUUUAUACUUUAAAUUGUCAUCAUUUGCAAAAAACGGAAGCUCAAACAGUUCGUAUUGUUUGGCAUUUGUUACGCACCCAAUAAUUCUAUGGGUGAGAUUGAGAGUGGAAAUUUAUAUCUAAUAAGAAAUCAUUAAAAAAGAAAUUGUUCGAAAUAUGUCCUACGCUAAGCCAAUAUACAAAAGCAAUUUGUACCUAAAUUCAACGACAACAAGCGAAUACAGAGAUGAAAAAUAUCGAUGAUAUGAAAGUAAGUGGCAAAAUGCUUGAGAGCUCUUAUCUGUGGUGGUAUUUGUGAGAAGUGUGAACGUCAAUGUGUGUGAGAUUGAAAAAGAAAUCAUCUGUACGUUUCGCAUCCGUUUGCACAAAUUGAACGUUUAAUUGUCAAGAGACAUAAAGAAAGACUACGACACAAAGACAAGACGAUUGUAUGAAGAGUAGUGAACUUUCGGUGCUUUAAAUACUUUUUCUGUGUGGAGUGUUCAUUGGCCGGCGACAGAGCGUUUUUUUUUGUUUUAGUGUCAAAAACAGAAGAGUAAGAGCUGUCACAUACAUUAAUAUAAAACAGUGUGAAUUGAAUGAGGAUCUUUUGAAUUAUUGCUGAUUCCAAGAUCAAAAUACAAAUUGUUGCCGUGUUUUUGUGAAUUCAGUCACGCCACUCAACGUUAUCGGUCACUCAUCACCAGCAUUUUUUUGUAAGAAAAUGGCUUCAAACAAUGAAGUGACCCAUUAUAAGAGCAUGUUGGAAAUGAAUGUCAAACCGGAUAUAGAGCAGUUCUUGGAUUAAAUGAUGGAGAUUAUUAUUCACAAUGACCCGUUCUUCUGGGAUUAUUGCUGCGAAACUAUUCGAACACACAUUGAAAGCAUAAUAGUUCGAUUCAUUCCUGAACAAAGAUUGUUUCGGGCACCAGGCAAUGGAAGUUCCGGUGACAUUGCUCGGCAUAACACAAGAGCCGACAGUCAGGCAACAGAUUUUCCGUCCAAUUCUUGGGAUUCAUUCUCAAACGACGCGACUAUUCGGCGCCCUUUGCAGAUCAAUCAAUUGAAUGAAGAAGAAGAAGGAGAAAAACGUGAAAAUGAAACUAUUGCCGUGGUUCCAUUGGAAAAACUGAGCAAAGCCAGCACUUCAGAAGAUGAAGAGACGAGCUUGUCUAUCAACCUGAAGAGGAAAGCGACCCAAUCGGAUAACUCGACGACUCAGAAAAGACAGAAAACGGUGGAGUGUGAUCGAUUAGAUCCAAAACAAUUGAAGUGUCCACUUUGCGAUUUUACAAGCUAUGUGGAUAGCGGGAUGAAGCAGCAUAUGACUUGCCUGAAACAUUUCAAAUGCUGCGUUUGCGACAAAAAAUUCGACGAUAAAAAGAAGUUUAUCGAAAACUUGGAAAUCCAUUGGGGCAAAUUACCGAAUUCGCAAUUGAUUGAAAAAAAUUUGAAUGGUUUAAUGAAACUUCAGCUGACUGAUUGAUGACACAUUUUUUAUGGAUUUAGCAAUAGCGAUCGGAAUUAGUUUUGAUAUUUUUAUAUAUUUAUUCUAUUCAUUAAGAAGAAAUUGAGGAAAAAGUAGCAGAAAAAAAGGAAAAAAACCCGAAAAGAAAAAAAAAUGAAAGAAAAGAGCAAUUUACCGACAAACAUUCAUUAAAUGAUUGUGAAAAAGUAAUAUGAA